GUGACUGUGUCUGUCUCCCCUCUCUUGACAGCCCCCUUUUUGCCUCAUAACCAUAAUAUCUCCCUUCUUUGACACUCAAACAGAAUGUUGUCAAUUAUUUAUUAAUCUUUCCACUCAAUAAUAAUGUUCUAAUUGUCCAUGCUUCUUUUGCGCGCCUCGUCUUGCUCUUUCUAGAGCACUAUCUGGGCCACUGCCUUUCACACUUUGUACCUCACCUCAUGUCCCCUGUUCUCCCCUCUUGUUGCUCUCUCUCGCUCUGCAUUUACACCAUCUCCCUCACUCUAGGCAACAACCCACUUCCAUUUCACUCUCUCUUCUUUCUUCAGCUUCUCCGUCAUCUUUCUACCUCGCCGUCCCACGCACUGUCCAUCCUUUUAUUUUCUCCUACUCACCCACCUCGGGAUGGUGAGGCUGGCUGCCAGUGCCCUUCUUCAUUCAAUUAAGGGCCGAGUGUUGCUGUUAUUGCUACGGCUAAUAAGGAACUACUUCUAGCUCGCCGCCUGGCCGUCACAGGCACGAGCAUAAAUAGGCGCCAUUCCUCGUCUCCUUCUCAGGCAAUCACCGUCCUUAUUACUAUCAUCUGAGAGGAGGACGCGCACGCAUCGAGACCCACGCACAAACAGUGAGCGUUGUGUGCGUGUGUCAGUGUUAGUGGGUGGAUGGAUGGAUGGAGAGCCUGAGGAGAAGCGAGUGAGAGAAAUGGAAUUGGAAGACAGUGGAGGGAAGUGACAGAUGAGAUUUGUGUGCCGAGUUUGUGUUAGUGGAUUCUGGAUGGUACUGUGUUUGACUGGCUGGUAGGUGUGUGUGUGUGUGUGUGUGUGUGUGUGUGUGUGUGUGUGUGUGUGUGUGUGUGUGUGCGUGAGUGUGUCUAUGUGUGUGACAAAGAGAGACAAAGCUGGCGGGAGUGAUGAGAUUAUUAAGUGCGCAAGUGUGAUAUUUGCAUAUACAGCAACUGCACGUGUGAGUGGAUCUGUGUGUGUGUGUGUGUUUGUGUGUGUGUGUAUCCGUGCAUGGUGAAGAAAGUGGCAGGCAGGGAGAGUUGUUGAGUGUGCACCAGGAGAGCGAGCACCCCUCUAGGCGGUUGUUGCAUGUUGGAUCCACACUGACAUGGAUGUAAUUGGUGGGAACUAGCUGGGUUUGUGGCUCUGUGGAAACGGAGACCCAGCAGACCUCUCAGUCUCCGCCUCUCCAACUUUCUCUUUCUUCAUCUCCCUCCGUUACGCCUCCGUCCACUCUUUGGCUUG
Molecule: long non-coding RNA, 1244 nt
Organism: Gasterosteus aculeatus aculeatus (three-spined stickleback)
Lineage: Eukaryota; Metazoa; Chordata; Actinopteri; Perciformes; Gasterosteidae
Source: Ensembl